UGAUAUUAUGUUAGAUUUAUUUCUUUUCUUGUGUUAUUUCGAACAUGGUUAUUGUAGAUGUUUUGUAUGCACCGGGCAUACGGCGGGUCUGUAUACGUACUGGGUAGGCUUCCGCUGGGGCCUGGGCAUGACACAUAUUGUCCUCAUCAGGUUAGAGGUGAGAAUUUUUAAGAAAAUUGUAUUGGUUUUUAAAGUAGAGUUGAUUGUUUGUAGAUUAUUAUGUUCUCUUAAUAUAACUUGUUGUAUUUUGUCUAUAUUUGGUAG
RNAcentral lists this long non-coding RNA (264 nucleotides) under Ananas comosus (pineapple). Its description in RNAcentral is "long non-coding RNA (ACOM_LNC025965)". The record is from RNAcentral. Lineage: Eukaryota; Viridiplantae; Streptophyta; Magnoliopsida; Poales; Bromeliaceae.